GAUCCAGCUUGCUGGAUGCUGACGAGCGGCGGACGGGUGAGUAAUGCAUAGGAAUCUGCCCGAUAGUGGGGGAUAACCUGGGGAAACCCAGGCUAAUACCGCAUACGUCCUACGGGAGAAAGGGGGCUCCGGCUCCCGCUAUGGGAUGAGCCUAUGUCGGAUUAGCUAGUUGGUGAGGUAACGGCUCACCAAGGCCACGAUCCGUAGCUGGUCUGAGAGGAUGAUCAGCCACAUCGGGACUGAGACACGGCCCGAACUCCUACGGGAGGCAGCAGUGGGGAAUAUUGGACAAUGGGGGAAACCCUGAUCCAGCCAUGCCGCGUGUGUGAAGAAGGCCCUCGGGUUGUAAAGCACUUUCAGCGAGGAAGAACGCCUAGCGGUUAAUACCCGCUAGGAAAGACAUCACUCGCAGAAGAAGCACCGGCUAACUCCGUGCCAGCAGCCGCGGUAAUACGGAGGGUGCAAGCGUUAAUCGGAAUUACUGGGCGUAAAGCGCGCGUAGGUGGCUUGAUAAGCCGGUUGUGAAAGCCCCGGGCUCAACCUGGGAACGGCAUCCGGAACUGUCAAGCUAGAGUGCAGGAGAGGAAGGUAGAAUUCCCGGUGUAGCGGUGAAAUGCGUAGAGAUCGGGAGGAAUACCAGUGGCGAAGGCGGCCUUCUGGACUGACACUGACACUGAGGUGCGAAAGCGUGGGUAGCAAACAGGAUUAGAUACCCUGGUAGUCCACGCCGUAAACGAUGUCGACCAGCCGUUGGGUGCCUAGCGCACUUUGUGGCGAAGUUAACGCGAUAAGUCGACCGCCUGGGGAGUACGGCCGCAAGGUUAAAACUCAAAUGAAUUGACGGGGGCCCGCACAAGCGGUGGAGCAUGUGGUUUAAUUCGAUGCAACGCGAAGAACCUUACCUACU
Molecule: ribosomal RNA, 907 nt
Filed under: Halomonas sp. N124(2010)
Lineage: Bacteria; Pseudomonadati; Pseudomonadota; Gammaproteobacteria; Oceanospirillales; Halomonadaceae
Description: bacterial SSU rRNA
Rfam family: Bacterial small subunit ribosomal RNA
Source: RNAcentral